AUUGAACGCUGGCGGCAUGCCUUACACAUGCAAGUCGAACGGUAACAGGUCUUCGGAUGCUGACGAGUGGCGAACGGGUGAGUAAUACAUCGGAACGUGCCUAGUAGUGGGGGAUAACUACUCGAAAGAGUGGCUAAUACCGCAUGAGAUCUACGGAUGAAAGCAGGGGAGCGCAAGACCUUGUGCUACUAAAGCGGCCGGUGGCAGAUUAGGUAGUUGGUGGGAUAAAAGCUUACCAAGCCGACGAUCUGUAGCUGGUCUGAGAGGACGAUCAGCCACACUGGGACUGAGACACGGCCCAGACUCCUACGGGAGGCAGCAGUGGGGAAUUUUGGACAAUGGGCGCAAACCUGAUCCAGCAAUGCCGCGUGCAGGAUGAAGGCCUUCGGGUUGUAAACUGCUUUUGUACGGAACGAAAAGCCCCGGGUUAAUACCCUGGGGUCAUGACGGUACCGUAAGAAUAAGCACCGGCUAACUACGUGCCAGCCGCCGCCGUAA
RNAcentral lists this ribosomal RNA (498 nucleotides) under uncultured bacterium. RNAcentral's name for it is "partial 16S ribosomal RNA". It matches the Rfam family "Bacterial small subunit ribosomal RNA", at positions 30 to 523 of the family's 1533-position model. The record is from RNAcentral.